Non-coding RNA from Zonotrichia albicollis (white-throated sparrow), 4144 nucleotides. Lineage: Eukaryota; Metazoa; Chordata; Aves; Passeriformes; Passerellidae. The record is from RefSeq and is a predicted model, not a curated record.
GAAUCUCCUGUGAUAACAGAAGGAGUAACAUAAAGACCAAGAGACAUGUGAGAAGCUAAGUCAGAGGCUUGAAAGGAAGCAAAAAGAUAAAUGGAUUCUGGAAGAGAGGAACUCUGUUGUAUUUGUACAGAGAAUCUGAAGCUGGAAAUUCCUUCACAGUGUCUAUAUCUCUGGAAAUCACUAUUCUGAGAAGACUCCUUGAACUUGAAAGGGUAGAAGAUAGGUUGGUUAUGACAAUUGCAUAUCAUCUUCUAAGAUGCCAGGAGUGAGUUGACAAAGAAGACUUUCUGCAUACCUUACUGCUCUGCCUGGAAGCUAAAGAAAAAAUAAUCCUUUUGUAUGCCACAUGAAGCAGGUUAAGGUGCCAGCUGCCUGGACUUACCAGUUUCCACUCCUUUGGUUAGAUGUCAACCACUUCUGAUCCUUCACUUCUGAAAAAUUUAUCUCAGGUCACAGAAGAUAAGAAGGACUCACAACCGAACACAAUCUCUCCGCUUGCCCUAAGCCAGGGCAAUCCCCCAGGCAUUAUAUUUCUUGAACUUGAGAUAUGAUUCUGAUCAACCCACCAAGCUGUCUAAGCCUGCUAUACAGUGCCCAACAACAUGGGUGAUUAUGAAUUUAAGCUCUGAGCAAAGCAUGAAGAGUGGAAAACAUAAAUGUAAACAUUGCAAUUGGAAAAUGGCACCUAAGAAGUUUCUAGCUCCUUCAACAGCAUCUGUUACCUCUGUUAGGACAGUGGCAGUAAUUUUACAAUGCAAUUGCUAUUGAUGCAAACCCUGCAUCAAUUAGUGGACAUUAGAGAAUUAAAGGUACAUUACUUCUACAUGUUCUCAACAGAGUUACAAAGACCUAGAUCUCUAUUUACUUGUUCCUGGACAAAUGAAGUAGCUGGGUAACUUGAAUAAGAAUUUCUUAUUACAGCAGAAUUAAUAAUAUAUUAUUUGAUUUCUUAUUAAACAAGAAAAGAAGGGGGGGAAAAAAGGCACUGUUGAAGUAUCAUGCCAAAAAUUUUUCUCUGCUUGGAAAAACAAUAUAAUAUACCUGGGGACUUGAUCUAUAUAGCUUAUUCCACUGAAACCAAUUUUUUUUCUUUUUAGAAGUUUCUGAGAGCCUUUGUCAGUAAUAUGAAACACAGAAAUAAACUUUAAAUUAAUGUUCUGGUUUAACCCCAGCUUAAGUACUAACUACACAGCUGCUCACUGACUAGUGCCAUUCUUCCCUGGUGGUGUGAAGAGGAGAAUUGGAACUGACUAGUUUGGAUCAGCUGUUCUGGCUGUGUUCCCUUCCAGCUUUCUCUGGAGCUCCUCACUGGCAGACCAGGAGACACUGGAAAGUCCUUGACUUAUAGUGAGCACUGCUCAGCAGCACACAGAACAUCAGUGAACAUCAACAUAAUUCUCAUACUAAAUCCAUAACGCAGCACUGUACCAGCAAGUAAGAAGAAAAUGAACUCUGUGUCCCAUGUGAAAUCAGGACAAUCAGAUGUUUUAGAGUAAAAAACUGAAAUAUCUUCACUUUCAAAGCAACUUCCUUAAACUGUUUAAACUGUCUUCAGUUUCAGCAUGUCUCUGGACAUGCAUUCAAAUUAGCUUUAAAGGAAGGUUUUGAAAUCCCCAGUUUAGUUUUUACUAACCAUUGCUCACAACCUUUACACAACUCUCUGAGGUCUGUAAAGCUUUCAAUAAAUAAGUUUAGGUGGAAGGACCUAAACUUAUUUAUUUAUUGGUAUAAUGACCUAACCUGGUGGUAUUAUCUAUCCAGACCAGAGGAGAGUGCAUGAGAAUCUGAAGUGAGCACCUUACACUGAGAAAAAGGCAGUAUUGUUCCUCAUUAAGCAACAUUUUCUUCAGAUGAAGUGAGUAAGAUGAAGUCUAUUAAGGCAUUUUAGCAGCUAAUUAGCAUUAAAAAUGAAACUUCCUCAGAAAUAUGGUUUCAUUUCAAUUUUGGUUCCUUCUUUGAAGGCUUUCUGUACAAACGUCUGGUAAUCAUACCAGUAUCUCUCAUGGAAACCUUUCAGAAGACCUUCCAUCUUUCCCUUGGCCAAUCAUUUGUUUACCAUCCUCUCUAGACCUGCUUUUCAGCAAAUCAGCUAACAAGUAAAUUUCACCAAAAUUUUCUUUGUCUUUCCUACUAUUUUGUUAGGCAACUUUCUCACAGCCCCAGUUUAUUCUGGCCUUCUAACUUUGCUGUCCUAAUAUUCACCCAACUUUCUAAUGCAUUUUUCAACUGGUCUGCUGUCCAUAGAAGGAUCCUGCAGACAUUGAAAUUAUGCAUCUGAUGGCACUGUGCAUUUUUCAGACAAAUACAUAGACAAUUUGGACUUGUCCUUUCAGAGAUUAGCCAUCUUAUUCUGAUUAAAAGGGCCAGAAACAGGAAAGUGUAUGAUGUCACAGAAAUGCUUUAAAGAGUAGGAAAAAAUGGAUUUAAGCAUGAAAAGGCCUGGAUUAAAGAAAAUAUGAAAGUGUUAAAGAUAAUGAUGUGUUAAGUAAGGAAUACUUAGGUUUUAUUAAGUGGGACUGCAUUUAGCAGUCUAAAAGGAGCGUAUAGAAUCCCAGAAUGAUUUGAUUUGGAAAGGACCUUCAAAAUCAUCUAGUUCUAACUCCAUACAGCAACUACAUUUAUUUUGGAUAUUUUAACUGUUAAGUUUUCUGAAUAUAUCAGGAAACAUAACAGUGCAGGUCAGCUGUCUGUGGCCAGAUUUCUGUCUUUUCUCUUUCCAUUUGAAUAGUUAGAUCAUUUCUUUCAUGCUAUUUUAAGUCCUUUGUAAUCUUUUUCUUUUUAUUGAAAAUAUGAGUGGAGUGCAUUCACCACUGCUGAAAGUCUCCUCCUGGUAAGCAUUGUCACAUAUGACAUAGUCCGUUAUACUCCAUAAAACUGACACAAAUCUCCCCAGUGUCUGUUUAGAUAAUGUAAUUGAAUUAAUCACUUAUAGCAAGCUGCUCAUGAGAGGGAUAUAAAGUAACAAAUGUCAGACCUUUGCCAGAGCAGAAUAAGACAUUAUUGGUAAAGAGAGUUUGCAUUAUACCCAGUGGUGAAUUUUGGAGUGGUCAUCAUGUUUAUAUGAAGAUAUAUUUUGGUUGCUGAACUGAGAAAAAAAAUUAAAGUUUACUUAAUGAUAAGAUCAACUCUAAAGAUAUGUGAGUGGCUAGGUAAUUUCCAAAGAUUCAUAUGUGCUUUUUAUUUUUUUUAUUAUUCUCUUUUCCCCCUUAGUACUUGUUAUCCAUAGGAUGGAUAGCAAUUGAAAGUUCACCAGGAUAAUUCCAUCAAAUGUCUUAAAUGGCAUUGCAUAUGCAAAGCUAUUCUGAUAGCACAAAAAUAUUAGGAAAAUCUCUCUCAAAAUGGCCAAGUAUCUCAGCUGAACCCUUAUUGACAAAUCUACAAAGUGAGGCCUCCAAAAUAAGUAGAAGGAGAACAGCUUAUUUCAGUUUCCUUUUCAAUACUGUCUUAUGUAAAUUGUCAGAGAACUGUGCAUUCAAAUAAUUGAAAUGUGUGGCUAGCUACUUUCAGAGAUAUUUUAAUUAUUUUACAAAGAAAGAUUAUAGUCCUCGGUACAUGACCACAGAACAAAGAAUUGGUUAAAUCAUUUUUCUGGAUGAUUUGCAUUAGGUCUCUGGAUUUUGGACUUUUUAUUAAUGUAGCCAAUUUUAUGGAAGGAUCCUCCCAGGAAGCCCCUGAUGGACCUUGAUUUUUCCUUCUUCAAUGCCAAAUAGUCUAUGAACAAGCUUCUUUAUAGUGGAAGAUGAGAAAUACUUAAUAUGCUGUAAAACAUUUGAUAUGUACACAAGACCAUGAAUUUUGUUAUCUCUAAGAGGUAAAUUCUACUCUCAGUGUUCUGUCUUAAUUUUUAAUUCCUCUGUAAUUGUAGAGAGCAUUUCUGAGCAACGACAGUAGUUCUAACUUUAAUACUCAGUGCUUGCUAUGCAAGCACAGCACAUAAAGUUAACAGAUUGCAUACAAUAUAAAUUUUAAAGUAUUUUCUUAGAAGUUGCACAGUCUGGCCUUUAUUUCUUAUCAUAAAUUAUUCUAUACAAAGGAAACUGUGUGUGUAAUUAUGUUAAUCCCCUCCCAAAAAUACUAUUAAAGAUACAUCAAGAUUUUGAAGUUUCCUGCAUACUACUAAAAUACUGAAAUUUAAAUCCACAGG